CGGUAUGUAUCCCAGGGCUGUGGCUGGUUGUGGCCAUGGGAUCUCCAACUACAUGGGAGAACCAUCUGGAGAGACCGACAGCUCAGGUCAGCGCAAUGCCUGCAGCUGCCACACGCCUUUCCUAUAAUG
This is a small nucleolar RNA of Nycticebus coucang (slow loris), 129 nucleotides long. RefSeq annotates it as small nucleolar RNA SNORA44. The transcript has a single exon. NCBI's taxonomy places the organism in Eukaryota, Metazoa, Chordata, Mammalia, Primates, Lorisidae. The record is from RefSeq and is a predicted model, not a curated record.